This 243-nucleotide ribosomal RNA is filed under the name uncultured bacterium. Its description in RNAcentral is "partial 16S ribosomal RNA". It matches the Rfam family "Bacterial small subunit ribosomal RNA", at positions 90 to 334 of the family's 1533-position model. The record is from RNAcentral.
ACGGAGCGGCGAACGGGUGAGUAACACGUGGGCAACCUGCCCCUCGCUCUGGGACAACUCGGGGAAACUCGGGCUAAUACCGGAUACGACCGCUCCAGGCAUCUGGUGGUGGUGGAAAGUUUUUCGGCGAGGGAUGGGCCCGCGGCCUAUCAGCUUGUUGGUGGGGUGAUGGCCUACCAAGGCGACGACGGGUAGCCGGCCUGAGAGGGCGACCGGCCACACUGGGACUGAGACACGGCCCAG